UCCUUCUACUCAAAAUUACUUUCUUUUUUCUUUCUUUUCCUUUCGAGGCCCAUUUCGUUCUCUCUCAACAAUUCCUAAUCAAUUUUCAAACCUUAGAAAGUAUUUAUCCCUUUCGAUCAAGUAAAAUCACGAUCAUUUAAAAAAUGGAGAACCAAAGGCUGAAGCAGCAGCAGCAGGCGUUGAUGGAAUAGGCUCUCUUUCAACAACAAUCUCUUUAUCAUCUAGCUUUUUAGCUGUUGCUCCCCUGGUUUAACUUAUUCACUUUAUUUUUGUUUGAAUAUUCAUCAUUUUUUGUUAACUGCAUUUGCUGAAGUUCUCCACAUAUUGCGAACUUUCAAUAGUGAUUUAAGAAAAUGGAAUCUUUUUAAACCGGUCAAUUCUUGUGUUCUCAUGACUAUCAAUUAUUUUAUUGCGUUUUUCUACUUUGCAAUUGCAACAUGCCAAUGAAUUUGAGAUUGAUGAUUGUUAGUCGCUCUGCUGGGAUUUCCAUUUUGUUUAUCUUAAUUUUGCAUCAGCUUCCUUUCUAAAAGCAACUUAUUGUUUUUAAAAUUUGCAUUUUUUUUUAUAGUUGAAAUCAUUGUCUAAUGGUUGGGCAUAGAAUUUUCGAAUUCUUUUUUUGAAUUUAUAGCUUGUGCCAUAAUUUUCUGAGAAUAUGUAGUCCCAUGUUGGUCCUUUUUUCUGGGUAUUUUUUUAUGCCAAUGUCUGUCUGCACAUAGUAAUGUUCUUUGUAAUCUGUGACUUCCACCAUUCACACACUUUCCUUCUAUUUUCCUUAGUUCGAUAUUCAUUUUCAUCUGGAAUCUUGUAAUGAUAUGUAUUUGUCUUUGACCCAACAAGCUUAAUAUGUUUUUGGAUUAUCUUGUUAUGUAGGUAAAAUUCAUUUUUCACCAUUAUUAGUAUAUCUCCACCUAGCCAGGCAUUAUGUAAACAAUUGAUGGAAUAUCAAUAUGGUGAAAAAUCAGAAUUAAGGAGUCAUUGUGGACAUAAUUCAUGUAUUGAGAGCAUAAGCAUGGGAGUUCCAAUAACAACUUGGCCGGUGCAUUUAAAUCAACCUAGAAAUGUCGUGCUAAUAACAAAAGUACUGAAAAUCAUUGUGGAAGUACGGAACUGGACACAUAGCAAGUUUCGCUGUCACCUACUGUGGUAGAGAAGGCUGUAAAAAGAUUGAUGGAUUCAACAAGAGGAGAAGAGAUGCAAAAGAGGACAGCAAAAUUAAGAGAUGUCGUAAAGUAAUUUGUGAUGGAAGGUAGUGCCACUCGCAAGGAGAUUGAUUCCUUUAUUGCUCAUAUAACUGGACAACAUCUUUCAUCUGAAAUCUAGAGAUCUUUGAUUAUCAUUGUUGCAAGGUAUAAUC
RNAcentral lists this long non-coding RNA (1354 nucleotides) under Olea europaea subsp. europaea. Lineage: Eukaryota; Viridiplantae; Streptophyta; Magnoliopsida; Lamiales; Oleaceae. The record is from RNAcentral.